Molecule: ribosomal RNA, 564 nt
Filed under: Triticum aestivum (bread wheat)
Lineage: Eukaryota; Viridiplantae; Streptophyta; Magnoliopsida; Poales; Poaceae
Description: partial small subunit ribosomal RNA
Source: RNAcentral
AUGCGUGAGCUGCAUAUGAACUUCGACACCGAAAUGCCAUGGUUUCAGAUGGAGCGACCAGAGCAACUGGCUCCUCGGCUGAAGAACCUGAGGAUUCUGAAGCUCGACAACAUCAAUGAAGAAUGCGGCGUCACUUGGACACUGUUCCUGCUGGAAGCUGCGCCUCUCUUGGAGAAGCUCCACAUCAAGGUGUCGAACCACGAGUGUGAAUCCUUCGAGGAUGGGAUGCUAAGGAAACUUCUGGUCGUCGCGACAAGUAACAUCGAGUUCGAACCAUCUGACUUCAAGCAUUAUAAGCUGGCCGUGCUCACCAUCUACGGCUUUCAGCCCAGCGAUAUGUUCAUGCAGUAUAUGAGACGGGUGAUGGAAGCGGCUGUCAAUUUGGAAGAGAUAUCUCUGCAUGACCACUGGUGCGAAGAGUGCGACUUUUAUCCAUUGACAAGGUAUCCCAAGACCGACCAAGACAGAGAAUUGAUACGGGAGGAGAUCAAUAGAGGGAGGCCGUCCCCUAUGAAGACCAUCCAAGUUUUAUUCAGUGAUACCAAGUAUAGAACCGAUGACUGA